This 67-nucleotide transfer RNA is filed under the name Hynobius kimurae (Hida salamander). RNAcentral describes it as "tRNA-Gly". It matches the Rfam family "tRNA". From Rfam's summary of the family: Transfer RNA (tRNA) molecules are approximately 80 nucleotides in length. Their secondary structure includes four short double-helical elements and three loops (D, anti-codon, and T loops). The record is from RNAcentral. Lineage: Eukaryota; Metazoa; Chordata; Amphibia; Caudata; Hynobiidae.
AUCUUUUUAGUAUAAAAUACAAAUGACUUCCAAUCAUUAAAUCUUAGUUAGAAUCUAGGAAAAGAUA